Molecule: ribosomal RNA, 500 nt
Filed under: uncultured bacterium
Lineage: Bacteria
Description: partial 16S ribosomal RNA
Rfam family: Bacterial small subunit ribosomal RNA
Source: RNAcentral
GUUGAACGCUGGCGGAAUGCUUUACACAUGCAAGUCGAACGGCAGCACGGACUUCGGUCUGGUGGCGAGUGGUGAACGGGUGAGUAAUAUAUCGGAACGUAUCCAAUAAUGGGGGAUAACUAAUCGAAAGGUUGGCUAAUAUCGCAUACGUCCUACGGGAGAAAGCUAGGGACCUUCGGGCCUGGCGUUAAUGGAGCGGCCGAUAUCGGAUUAGCUAGUUGGUGAGGUAAAGGCUCACCAAGGCGACGAUCCGUAGCUGGUCUGAGAGGACGACCAGCCACACUGGAACUGAGACACGGUCCAGACUCCUACGGGAGGCAGCAGUGGGGAAUUUUGGACAAUGGGCGAAAGCCUGAUCCAGCCAUUCCGCGUGAGUGAAGAAGGCCUUCGGGUUGUAAAGCUCUUUCGCAAGAGAAGAAAACUUACCCUCUAACAUAGGGUGAGGUUGACGGUAUCUUGAUAAGAAGCACCGGCUAACUACGUGCCAGCAGCCGCCGUAA